Molecule: non-coding RNA, 45 nt
Organism: Schistosoma haematobium
Lineage: Eukaryota; Metazoa; Platyhelminthes; Trematoda; Strigeidida; Schistosomatidae
Source: Rfam
AUCCAGCCGAAGAGUCCCAAAUGGGACGAAACGCGUGUCCUGGAU